This 244-nucleotide ribosomal RNA is filed under the name uncultured bacterium. Its description in RNAcentral is "partial 16S ribosomal RNA". It matches the Rfam family "Bacterial small subunit ribosomal RNA", at positions 97 to 339 of the family's 1533-position model. The record is from RNAcentral.
GGCGGACGGGUGAGUAAUACAUCGGAACGUGCCAAUUAGUGGUGGAUAACGCAUCGAAAGAUGUGCUAAUACAGCAUAAACUCUGAGGAGGAAAGGUGGGGACCCUGUGAUGGGGCCUAUCGCUAUAUGAGCGGCCGAUGGUCGAUUAGCUAGUUGGUGAGGUAAGAGCUUACCAAGGCGAUGAUCGAUAGCUGUUCUGAGAGGAAGAUCAGCCACACUGGGACUGAGACACGGCCCAGACUCC